CACCAGCGCCACGAGUGGCCACCGCGAUUAUUGGGCCUAAAGCGUCCGUAGUCGGACUUGUGCAUCUUCUGUGAAAUCGCUGCGCUUAACGUAGCGGCAUGCGGAAGACACGGCAAGUCUUUGAGAUCGGGAGGCGUCAGGGGUAUUCCUGGGGGACCGGUAAAAUGGUAUAAUCCCAGGAGGACCACCUGUGGCGAAGGCGCCUGACGAGAACGAAUCUGACGAUGAGGGACGAAAGCCAGGGGAGCAAACCGG
RNAcentral lists this ribosomal RNA (255 nucleotides) under uncultured bacterium. Its description in RNAcentral is "partial 16S ribosomal RNA". It matches the Rfam family "Archaeal small subunit ribosomal RNA", at positions 474 to 727 of the family's 1478-position model. The record is from RNAcentral.